CUCUCUUUAGCUCAGUUGGUUAGAGUGAUGCACCAGCAUCGCAGGGCUGCAGGUUCGAUUCCUGCGCGAGAGG
Paramuricea clavata is the source of this 73-nucleotide non-coding RNA. Lineage: Eukaryota; Metazoa; Cnidaria; Anthozoa; Malacalcyonacea; Plexauridae. The record is from the annotation of a GenBank genome assembly.